RNAcentral lists this ribosomal RNA (428 nucleotides) under uncultured archaeon. RNAcentral's name for it is "bacterial SSU rRNA". It matches the Rfam family "Archaeal small subunit ribosomal RNA", at positions 474 to 904 of the family's 1478-position model. The record is from RNAcentral.
UACCAGCUCUCCGAGUGGUAGGGAUGUUUAUUGGGAUUAAAGCGUCCGUAGCCGGCUUAGCAAGUCUCCUGUUAAAUUCAGCGACCUAAUCGUUGAGCCGCGGGAGAUACUACUAGGCUAGGAGGCGGGAGAGGUCAACGGUACUUCCGGGGUAGGGGUGAAAUCCUAUAAUCCCGGGAGGACCACCAGUGGCGAAGGCUGUUGACUAGAACGCGCUCGACGGUGAGGGACGAAAGCUGGGGGAGCGAACCGGAUUAGAUACCCGGGUAGUCCCAGCUGUAAACGAUGCGAGCUAGGUGUUGGGGUGGCUACGUGCCACUUCAGUGCCGCAGGGAAGCCAUUAAGCUCGCCGCCUGGGGAUACGGCCGCAAGGCUGAAACUUAAAGGAAUUGGCGGGGAGCACCACAAGACGUGAAGCUUGCGGUUCA